UCUUAAUAAUUUUCUUUUCUUUUUUAACAAUUAUCCGUUUAGAAACUAUAAUAUGAAACCAUUGGUUCGACAUCACGACUAUCUAAGAUUCAUAACAUGAAAACAAACAAAUAAUAGUAAUUUUUGAUUAUCAGAGGAAAAAAAAAACAAAAACAUCAAACAUUUUAACCGAACAAACCAAAUAAAUAUUGAUUUAAAAUGAUAGUUAUACUUUAGGAGAUUAAAAACCAAAAAAAUAACUUAAAACAUAACCGAUAUCCAGAUUAAACAGAUAAAUGUCUUCUUAUUAAAAAAUAACGGAAAUAAUAAUCUGAUAGAGAGCGGAAGCUAUAUGAUUCAAAGAUCAAGGGUUUGAUCUUAAAACUGUUAACUUGUGUUCGAAGGUAACUCGAAAACAAGAUUGAUAGAACGCGAUUACUCUUCGCAGUGCCUUUUGCAAAGCUCUUUAAAACCAAAACCUUAUAAUUCUUAUUAUCAAAAUCGUGUCC
This 488-nucleotide long non-coding RNA is filed under the name Brassica rapa (field mustard). Its description in RNAcentral is "long non-coding RNA (BRAP_LNC004360)". Lineage: Eukaryota; Viridiplantae; Streptophyta; Magnoliopsida; Brassicales; Brassicaceae. The record is from RNAcentral.